GCAUGGUUGUCGUCAGCUCGUGCCGUGAGGUGUCGGCUCAAGUGCCAUAACGAGCGCAACCCCUGUCUCCUGUUGCCAUCAGGUAAAGCUGGGCACACUGGAGAGACUGCCGCCGUAAGGUGCGAGGAAGGUGGGGAUGACGUCAAAUCAGCACGGCCCUUACGUCCGGGGCUACACACGUGUUACAAUGGCCGGUACAGAAGGAUGGUGCCCCGCAAGGUGCAUCGAACCUGAAAAACCGGUCCCAGUUCGGACUGGGGUCUGCAACCCGACCCCACGAAGCUGGAUUCGCUAGUAAUCGCGCAUCAGCCAUGACGCGGUGAAUACGUUCCCGGGCCUUGUACACACCGCCCGUCAAGCCAUGAAAGCCGGGAGUGCCUGAAGUCCGUGACCGCGAGGAUCGGCCUAGGGCAAAAUCGGUAAUUGGGGCUAAGUCGUAACAAGGUAACCGU
This 452-nucleotide ribosomal RNA is filed under the name uncultured bacterium. RNAcentral describes it as "bacterial SSU rRNA". It matches the Rfam family "Bacterial small subunit ribosomal RNA", at positions 1043 to 1503 of the family's 1533-position model. The record is from RNAcentral.